UUGAUACUUGAUUUUCCCGCCACUCUACCUGAAAUCGACUAGUGCUUGCGACUUGAUGGCAGUCCUUGACUUGAAUUCCAAAGACAAGGCUCUGAGUUCUACUGCCCACUUGGAGAAUUUUUCUGUUGUAUCUCGAUUGUGGAGAAUUUCUCCUAAGGGGAAGUCUGUGAUGACAGAGAUAUUACGCUCCUGGAAGUAGUGUCGUAGCUUUUGUGAUGUGAGUAGUGUUGCGGAUAGCAACUUCUGAACCGGCGGGUACCUAGUUUUGGAGUCAGAAAACACCUCACUAACAAAAUAGACGGGCCUCUGUACUCUAUAUACAUGGCCUGGUUCUGGUCUUUUUACCACAAUCGCCGUGCUGAUGACAUUAGUAAUCACAGCGAUAUAGAGCAGCAAGUCUUCAUCGGGAGUAGACGCCGUGAGGACCGGUGGCUUUGAUAGGAAGUCCUUCAACUAUUGAGGGCUUGAUCUACUUUCUCGGUCAACUAGAAUUUAUCUUGCCGCUUGAGUAGUUUGAAGAAGGGUAGUCCCCAUUCCCCAAGCCUUGAGAUGAAUACCCCUCAGUGCAACAGAUAGCAAUUGUGUCAUCAAGAUGUGGUAGUCAUAAGCCUUUAGAUUUAUGAAUUUCUUCUCUUUAAAAGUUAUUAUUGCCUGUAUAUUCGAGGAGUAUCCUGAUGGUACUUUGAUACUAUUUAAGCAUUCAAACAUAUUUUUCUUCUCUUUCUUACUGAGAGUGUAACUGGCAGGAUGCAAGUAAUGUCCAUCAUCUCUCUUUUUUGGAUGUAGGCCAUCUCAUUGUUUCAUACGUUUCAGGUCCCGACGUGCUUCAAUUGUAUCCUUUGUCUUCCAUAUGUACCCAGGAAGCCAAGCACAUUCAUGCAAAGAUUUUUCAUCAGGUGCAUCACAUCGAUUGCAUUACAGACCUCAAGGACUUCCCAAUAAGAUAGCUUCCAAAAUAUAGACUUCUUCUUACACAUAGGUGCAUGUCCAUCCUCAUCGUUCGGAAUAGGUUGUCUACCAGAACCCUUGUCAAAGACUAC
This 1040-nucleotide long non-coding RNA is filed under the name Setaria italica (foxtail millet). Its description in RNAcentral is "long non-coding RNA (SITA_LNC005090)". The record is from RNAcentral. Lineage: Eukaryota; Viridiplantae; Streptophyta; Magnoliopsida; Poales; Poaceae.